This 372-nucleotide ribosomal RNA is filed under the name uncultured bacterium. RNAcentral's name for it is "bacterial SSU rRNA". It matches the Rfam family "Bacterial small subunit ribosomal RNA", at positions 523 to 898 of the family's 1533-position model. The record is from RNAcentral.
AUACGUAGGGGGCGAGCGUUGUCCGGAUUUACUGGGCGUAAAGGGUGAGUAGGCGGUUAUAUAUGUCAGAUGUAAAAGGCUAUGGCUUAACCAUAGUUAGCAUUUGAAACCGUAUGACUUGAGUGCAGGAGAGGUAAGUGGAAUUCCUAGUGUAGCGGUGAAAUGCGUAGAUAUUAGGAGGAACACCAGUGGCGAAGGCGACUUACUGGACUGUAACUGACGCUGAGUCACGAAAGCGUGGGUAGCAAACAGGAUUAGAUACCCUGGUAGUCCACGCUGUAAACGAUGAGUGCUAGGUGUUGGGUAGCGAUACUCAGUGCCGAAGUAAACACAAUAAGCACCCCGCCUGGGGAGUACGUACGCAAGUAUGAA